AAUCGUUUUGUUCUGUUUGCGGAUUAUCAGAGCGGCGGCGCGAAACCGUCUCUUGUAAGCCGCAUCCGCGGAACAGCCUCGGCAAGGAUAGCCGGGGUAAGC
This 102-nucleotide non-coding RNA is filed under the name unclassified sequences. RNAcentral describes it as "Termite-flg RNA". It matches the Rfam family "Termite-flg RNA". The record is from RNAcentral.